GAGACAGAAGGAGGCACACCUGAGAGGAUCUCACAUAGCCAGAGGAGCCUUCCAACACCACAGACACUCACACAGACCAGCCAUCAUGUCCGCCGCCGGAGGUACGUUUUACAUCAUUGAAUUUCAAUUACCGGUACUAGACACAAAUAGCCCGUUUUUCCCCCGAGAAUUUUAACGUUUUGACUCUCCUUGUUAUAUUAUAGUUCAUGAUGAUUUUCCAUUAUAAAUGUCAUUUGUCCUAUAUUCCAAAAAAAAGAAUUACAAUGUGGAGAUCAUGCCAAUAGGUAUCCCCUCUAGUCUCAGUUCUCCAUUAUACCAUGGGUUUAUCAGGCAAUAGCCAUAACCUGUGGCCUGAUCAUGAUUCAUGUACAUCACUAGCCAGUCAGGUAACAGGCAGAACGCCACAGGGAAUCAUGUGCUAGCUCGUUGUUCUAGCCACAUAGUAAACAUUCAUUUAGUAUGCUGUGGCUACAGAGACCGGCACAAGUUGGCUAGCUUCGCAGUGCACUGUACAUACAUACAGUACAUAUCCCAAAGCACCUUCACAAACUCAAACAAACCACUCUCAGUCACUGCUACCUCCCGUUGCCCGAGUGAGACACAACAUAUUAGCCUGCUCGUCCCCCAAAACAAACAGGGAACGUGGCUCAUCAUAACAUAUUGGUGUGACCUGCUCUGGGAGAUUUACGUUGACUUUCUGUGGGUCAGGUUUACUUUUGAGUCAGUCAUAUAUUGUUAGAAACCGGGUCGUGCGAACCCUGGAUGCUGAUUGGCUGAAAACCACGGUACUGAAUAUGAGACAAUAUACCACGGGUAUGACGCAAAACUACUUGUUUACUGUUCGUAUUACGUUGGUAACCUGUUUGUAAUAGCAAUAAGGCACCUCAGGGGUUUGUGGUAGCCCCCAAACCUAGGACCCCAGAUGGCAAUAAAAGCCACAGGGCUGGGACAACAGUAUGUUUCUCUGUCUAUUCUAUUUCUGUCACUCCUCUGAGUGUACCGGCCUGUAGAGUGUGGAUAUCCUCUUGGAUCUUAUCUUGUGUUCUCUGCUCUCUCAUCAGCUCCUGAGUACGACCCUGAUGCAGAAUUUGUGUACGACUACCAAACUCUUCGUAUUGGAGGUCUGACCUUCGUUGCAGUCAUCAUGAUCCUGUCUGUUCUCCUGCUGGCCAGCAACAAAAUCCGCAGGUGUGGAAAGCCCAGGCCGGUAGCAACAAGAAGAAGCACUGCGAUGUGUGAGGACCCAAGAAGGACACAAAGACACAAUACACAUGCAUCAAGUGCAAGAAAUACAUUUGCAACACACAAAUACAGUAAACUCUGUCCCUCAUGUGGCGUAUAGACCGGCCUUAUUUGUGUUCAAUGGGGCUCAUUUAUAAUUUCCAUAAAUUACUGUAUGUAAAAUUUGUCCUUCCAAUUUGUUCAGUUCAAAGCAAUAAACAUCAAUAGUGAUGAAAACCUUAUUUAAUUUAUAUUUGGUCAAGAUAAACAUAAUUUAUUCCACCCAUGUCUUGAUUGUAAUUGUAAAAAAACGAAUAGCGCUUUUAUUGAUAAAUGUGAUGCAAUAGAGGUAAAUGUGAAAUAUUAACCAUGUAUGCUGUCUCAAUUGCUUGUAAUUGAUAUAAGUCAACAUCUAAGUAUGAAGUAUUUUUACAUAAAUUGUUAUGGCUGUAUUGUUUUAAAUACCCAAG
Molecule: long non-coding RNA, 1691 nt
Filed under: Salmo salar (Atlantic salmon)
Lineage: Eukaryota; Metazoa; Chordata; Actinopteri; Salmoniformes; Salmonidae
Description: lncRNA (ENSSSAG00000094188.1, ENSSSAG00000101669.1)
Source: RNAcentral